GAUGAACGCUGGCGGCGUGCCUAAUACAUGCAAGUCGAGCGAACGGACGAGAAGCUUGCCUCUCUGAUGUUAGCGGCGGACGGGUGAGUAACACGUGGAUAACCUACCUAUAAGACUGGGAUAACUUCGGGAAACCGGAGCUAAUACCGGAUAAUAUUUUGAACCGCAUGGUUCAAAAGUGAAAGACGGUCUUGCUGUCACUUAUAGAUGGAUCCGCGCUGCAUUAGCUAGUUGGUAAGGUAACGGCUUACCAAGGCAACGAUGCAUAGCCGACCUGAGAGGGUGAUCGGCCACACUGGAACUGAGACACGGUCCAGACUCCUACGGGAGGCAGCAGUAGGGAAUCUUCCGCAAUGGGCGAAAGCCUGACGGGGCAACGCCGCGUGAGUGAUGAAGGUCUUCGGAUCGUAAAACUCUGUUAUUAGGGAAGAACAUAUGUGUAAGUAACUGUGCACAUCUUGACGGUACCUAAUCAGAAAGCCACGGCUAACUACGUG
This 497-nucleotide ribosomal RNA is filed under the name uncultured bacterium. RNAcentral's name for it is "partial 16S ribosomal RNA". It matches the Rfam family "Bacterial small subunit ribosomal RNA", at positions 28 to 507 of the family's 1533-position model. The record is from RNAcentral.